GAUGAGCCUAGGUCGGAUUAGCUAGUUGGUGAGGUAAUGGCUCACCAAGGCUACGAUCCCUAACUGGUCUGAGAGGAUGAUCAGUCACACUGGAACUGAGACACGGUCCAGACUCCUACGGGAGGCAGCAGUGGGGAAUAUUGGACAAUGGGCGAAAGCCUGAUCCAGCCAUGCCGCGUGUGUGAAGAAGGUCUUCGGAUUGUAAAGCACUUUAAGUUGGGAGGAAGGGCAUUAGGCUAAUACCUUGCUGUUUUGACGUUACCGACAGAAUAAGCACCGGCUAACUCUGUGCCAGCAGCCGCGGUAAUACAGAGGGUGCAAGCGUUAAUCGGAAUUACUGGGCGUAAAGC
RNAcentral lists this ribosomal RNA (350 nucleotides) under uncultured Pseudomonas sp. Its description in RNAcentral is "bacterial SSU rRNA". It matches the Rfam family "Bacterial small subunit ribosomal RNA", at positions 224 to 566 of the family's 1533-position model. The record is from RNAcentral. Lineage: Bacteria; Pseudomonadati; Pseudomonadota; Gammaproteobacteria; Pseudomonadales; Pseudomonadaceae.